Molecule: ribosomal RNA, 253 nt
Filed under: uncultured bacterium
Lineage: Bacteria
Description: partial 16S ribosomal RNA
Rfam family: Bacterial small subunit ribosomal RNA
Source: RNAcentral
UACAGAGGGUGCGAGCGUUGUCCGGAAUCACUGGGCGUAAAGGGCGCGUAGGCGGCCUGAUAAGUAGGGGGUGAAAUCUCGCGGCUCAACUGCGAGGCUGCCUCCUAAACUGUCGGGCUCGAGCACAGUAGAGGCAGGUGGAAUUCCCGGUGUAGCGGUGGAAUGCGUAGAGAUCGGGAAGAACAUCGGUGGCGAAGGCGGCCUGCUGGGCUGUUGCUGACGCUGAGGCGCGACAGCGUGGGGAGCAAACAGG